GAGCAGUGGUGCGAUCCCCAUUUCAACCCUGGGGUACCCCCUCUCCCAGACCUUGUAGUCCAAAGCGGUGGGAGGAGUUCCCUUCAACCCUCAGGGCAGAGAAGUAAGUGCUGCGCGUCCGAAGCCGCAGCCAGAGGGCCUCACCCGAGACGAGGUCUUUGAACGCCCCUAGCCCGUGCCCACGCCCGGGAGCCCAGGCGCCCCAGGGCCAACCCUGGGAAACCCGCACACUGCUGCGCUCACGGGGUGCCCUACGCUCCCCACUUGUCCUUCCACUAAGUGACGUUCUCCGCGGGAGCUCUGCAGUUACCCAGGCGGACGCGCCCGCUCUGCUGGCCUCAGCGCCCUGAGCUGGGCAGAGGGGGAGACAGUCUGGCCGGGAAGAAGGUCCAACCUCCGCCCGCCCCAGCAGCACUGAGACCUGUGGAAGAAGAUGUGGUCUGAAUCACCGAUUGGCAGAGCUGGAAAUUAAACUCCUCGUUCUACAGAAAAGGAAACUGAGGCCCAGGCAGAGGGAGGAAAGGCAGCUGUGGAGUGCAGUGGUUAAGAGCAAGAGAUUGGUGGCCAGAGAAAGGAAUCUCAGCUCCACCAGGUAACCAGCAGCUGUGCAACGAUAGACGAGCUCCGCAGCCGCUGUAACAAUAACGGUGCCUAUUCAAGUUGCAAGAACUAGAUAAGACGGGUAACAUGCCGGUGUCAUAACAAGGUUCGAGGGAGACACAUGUCACACAACCUCAUGAACACCCAGUCAUCACGCUCAGGAACACAAAAGGAUCUAUAACUGGCUUUUUAAACUCGAUACAGUAUGUCAAGAUCAUAAUGAAUAUGGAUUACCACUCUGGAGAAUUCAACUGAUGAAGAACAGGGGUUGGCAAUCUUCUCUUUGGUGUAUUUUUGGUAAAUUGCUGACCCUGAUGUAGAAGCUGUCGCUCUGACACAAUGAAGAGCUAAACGGAGAAGGAUCUGAUUCCCCACACUGGGCUCACGGGACUGAUGUUCUUCCAAUAGUCAAAGCUCCAUCAGCCUGAAUCCCUGAGUAAGAAUCACACAGAGCAGAGGCCCUGCUGACCUGGGAUGAACGUGUAGCAUAAAUGGGAAAUAAACCUUUGUUUUUCUAAGCCACUGGAGGUUGUUUGUUGCUGCAGCAUAAGGAAGAAAGGGUGAAAGAGAAGCUUCCCAUGCCUGGUUUAUGAACGUGGCCUUGAAAAUGUCCACAGAGCUAUUGUUGUCUUGUUGAGUCUGCAGCCAGGAAGGCAGAAAUCACUGCAGCAAAGCAGGUGUGAACGUCCCCCUACUUCAGAGGCAGCUCUCUUUGAAGCUGGAAAAUCAAGGACGCUGGUACCUUCAAGGAAACAAGGAUAUAAUUAUCACAACACCCAAUUGGCCGGUGACCUUCCAUUCCUCAGGCCUGCCCUACUCCCUUCACUGGCACCAGCCCAGGUCCUCACAGACUGAGCUCUGUCCCAGAUCGCUCAGCCAGAGGAGCAGCCCACUCCCUCACCCUUUGAAAGUGUUCUUAAUCUCUUUCUACUGCGCUGCUCUUGCUGACAUAAAUCCGCCAGCCCAGGGGGCCUCUGAGCCCCCCACAGAGGGAGGCCCUUCAGGCCAAGCGGAGUCUGAGCAGCGAAGGCGUAGAAUUUAUGCUUCCUCUCACCUGUGCUGUCUGUCUGUGGCCUCUACUCCAGGCUGGUUUUGAAGGUUUGACCAGAACCUCCCAGCUCCUUGCCAAGUCUGCCAUCAUCACCUCAGUCACAGAAGCAGACUUCUCAAGGCCACUGGAAGCUAAUAACAGGGACUCUCAACUUCAUUAUUAUAUUUGAAAUGUUGAAAGCCAAAGCCUAAUAAAAUACGUUCAGAAAAACAAAAAGAGCUAU
Eubalaena glacialis (North Atlantic right whale) is the source of this 1874-nucleotide long non-coding RNA. RefSeq lists it as uncharacterized. The record is from RefSeq and is a predicted model, not a curated record. NCBI's taxonomy places the organism in Eukaryota, Metazoa, Chordata, Mammalia, Artiodactyla, Balaenidae. The transcript is spliced from 8 exons.